UUCGCCCUUAGAGUUUGAUCCUGGCUCAGGACGAACGCUGGCGGCGCGCCUAACACAUGCAAGUCGAACGAGAGAGAGGAAGCUUGCUUCCUCAAUCGAGUGGCGAACGGGUGAGUAACGCGUGAGGAACCUGCCUCAAAGAGGGGGACAACAGUUGGAAACGACUGCUAAUACCGCAUAAGCCCACAGCUCGGCAUCGAGCAGAGGGAAAAGGAGCAAUCCGCUUUGAGAUGGCCUCGCGUCCGAUUAGCUAGUUGGUGAGGUAACGGCCCACCAAGGCGACGAUCGGUAGCCGGACUGAGAGGUUGAACGGCCACAUUGGGACUGAGACACGGCCCAGACUCCUACGGGAGGCAGCAGUGGGGAAUAUUGCACAAUGGGGGAAACCCUGAUGCAGCGACGCCGCGUGGAGGAAGAAGGUCUUCGGAUUGUAAACUCCUGUUGUUGAGGAAGAUAAUGACGGUACUCAACAAGGAAGUGACGGCUAACUACGUGCCAGCAGCCGCGGUAAAACGUAGGUCACAAGCGUUGUCCGGAAUUACUGGGUGUAAAGGGAGCGCAGGCGGGAGAACAAGUUGGAAGUGAAAUCCAUGGGCUCAACCCAUGAACUGCUUUCAAAACUGUUUUUCUUGAGUAGUGCAGAGGUAGGCGGAAUUCCCGGUGUAGCGGUGGAAUGCGUAGAUAUCGGGAGGAACACCAGUGGCGAAGGCGGCCUACUGGGCACCAACUGACGCUGAGGCUCGAAAGUGUGGGUAGCAAACAGGAUUAGAUACCCUGGUAGUCCACACCGUAAACGAUGAUUACUAGGUGUUGGAGGAAUUGACCCCUUCAGUGCCGCAGUUUAACACAAUAAGUAAUCCACUGGGGGAGUACGACCGCAAGGUUGAAACUCAAAGGAAUUGACGGGGGCCCGCACAAGCAGUGGAGUAUGUGGUUUAAUUCGACGCAACGCGAAGAACCUUACCAAGUCUUGACAUCCCUUGACGAUGCUGGAAACAGUAUUUCUCUUCGGAGCAAGGAGACAGGUGGUGCAUGGUUGUCGUCAGCUCGUGUCGUGAGAUGUUGGGUUAAGUCCCGCAACGAGCGCAACCCUUAUGGUCAGUUACUACGCAAGAGGACUCUGGCCAGACUGCCGUUGACAAAACGGAGGAAGGUGGGGAUGACGUCAAAUCAUCAUGCCCUUUAUGACUUGGGCUACACACGUACUACAAUGGCGUUAAACAAAGAGAAGCAAGACCGCGAGGUGGAGCAAAACUCAGAAACAACGUCCCAGUUCGGACUGCAGGCUGCAACUCGCCUGCACGAAGUCGGAAUUGCUAGUAAUCGUGGAUCAGCAUGCCACGGUGAAUACGUUCCCGGGCCUUGCACACACCGCCCGUCA
This 1381-nucleotide ribosomal RNA is filed under the name uncultured bacterium. RNAcentral's name for it is "16S ribosomal RNA". It matches the Rfam family "Bacterial small subunit ribosomal RNA". The record is from RNAcentral.